RNAcentral lists this long non-coding RNA (4620 nucleotides) under Homo sapiens (human). RNAcentral describes it as "HSALNT0386247". Lineage: Eukaryota; Metazoa; Chordata; Mammalia; Primates; Hominidae. The record is from RNAcentral.
ACACUUGCGCCCUGAGGAGUAGUUAAAAUUCAGCUUGAGGGGCACUUAGUGUCACAGAAGCCUAGAUAAAGAAACAAGAUUUCAGGCAGGAAGAAAUAAUAAAGAGGCAGGACUUCAAGUGUCCUGUGAAACACAACAUUCGGCCUCCGGCACACACAUCCGUGGGAGACGGCUCAACUUCUUUAUAAAGUGAGGAACCAAAUUGUGAAGACAUCUGUUCUGUUAUUAAUUUCACAUACAUCUUAAGCUCCUCAAGGCCAGAAAUGAGGCUUCAUUCACGUCGAAUUAAUGAAACAUGAUUGUAAGUCCCUUGCUUGGAAAUGCUGUCACACAGUUCUGAGCUGCUUAUAAGCACUGAGUAAUCUCUGAAACUGCCAGGGGACGGCCACUUGAAAUCUGCCCUCCCCUCCCCCUGCCACCCAAAAACAAUAUCUGAAUAUAUCACAACACUAACUAUAUCCUGAAAGAUUAAUAGCAGAUAAAAAUUUCUGGGAAAUGAAUCAGACUUUCUCAGUAAAGGAUACAGAGAUCUCAGGCAAAAGCAGAUUGCAUAGUGGAAGAGCUCUUUGGGAUACAGUUUAAUAACUGUGCCCCAGGCUGCCCCUGAAUACACCCAAAAGGACGAUGGUGGGCCAGGAAGGGGGUGGGGAGUCUUGGAAUUUCUUGCAGAGAUGUCUUUUGAGGGUGUGUACGAAAAUGUACUGGAGGUGACACAGAUGUGAAACUGGAAACUUGAUCUGCGAAAGCAUGAUGUAUGUGUCAGGUGUGUGGGAGAAUGUGUGUGCAUAUGGAAACUGUGUGUGAAUGCAUGCAGGAAUGUGUAUGAGUCUACUUACAUGUGGGUGAGUAUGUGUAUAUCAGUGUGUGAGUUCGCGCACGUAUGAGUGUGAAAAUGUGUGUGUUGUGAGUUUGUGUUGGUGACUGUGUAUGAGGGUAUGUGUGUAUGAAUAUGGGUGAGUUUGCAUGUGUGAAAAUGUCUGUGUUGCAAGUUUUUAUUGGUGAGUGUGUAUGAGGGUAUGUGUGUAUGAAUAUGGAUGAGUUUGCAUGUGUGAAAAUGUGUGUUGUGAGUUUGUGUUGGUGAGUGUAUAUGAAGGUAUGUGUGUAUGAACAUGGAUGAGUUUGCAUGUGUGGAAAUAUGUGUGUUUCGAGUUUUCAUUGGUGAGUGGGCAUGAGGGUAUGCGUGUAUGAAUAUGGAUGAGUUUGUGUGUGAAAAUAAUUUUGUGUGUCUGUGGAUGCAUAUGAAGGUGUGUGUGUGUGUGUGUGUGUGGUGAGUGGAUGCAUUGACAUGCACAGAUCUCUCAGGACAGACAGGAAUCAGUCAGUCCGGGCUGGAUCUUAAAUAGCAGCUCAGCACAAUACCAUGCCCAUCUGAGCCAGUCUUGAAAGGAGCUUGCUCUUGAGGUUUUGGGUUUGGGGGGCUUGAUUUUUUUUUUUUGUCAAAUAACUGAAAAUGCCAGCAGAAAGAUUGUCUGGAGGGAGGCAUGAGAUGGGGAGCCUGAGAUUUCUUAAUCAAACUUUCAAGUGUUAUUUUUGGUCUUCCGCUGAGCUGGGACCAAAAAAGAAUCUGCAUAUGAUAUUUACAUCUCAAAUCUUCAGAGCCUCAUUAGCUUUGAUAGUUAUUUAUUUAUUUAUUUAUUUGCAAAAAGGAAUUUAAAUCAAACAGAGAGGCACAAAAGCAAAACCUUUGAAUGUAGUGCAACAUUAAUUAAAACAGGCAGCCGAAGGGUAGAGUGAAAUACAAUGGAAUCCAGAAAAAAAAAAAGACAAUGAAACUAAUUAGACUCUGAUGGGAAGAUCCUUCCUCGUUUGGUGAUCAUCCAUUGGUAAUUAAUAAGUCACAAAUAUUGAUGUUUGAAGAAAAGUGCCAGAAUUUUAACCCCUGUUUUUCCAGAAGUUUAAAAAAAAUUUCUUUAGAUUCUGAUCUUCUAAACUAAAUCAGUCAAAUGAUUGGAUGUUGAAUUUUACAGUCAUGUGUUGGUGACGGAUGGGGAUGUGUUCUGAGAGGCUAUUUCAUCAUUGUGCCAACCUCAUACAGUGUACUUACACACACCUAGAUGGUAUAAGCUAUAUGGAAUAGCCUUUUGCUCCUAGGCUACAAACCGGUAUAGCAUGUAUCACACUGAAUACUGUAGGUAAUUGUAACACCGUGGUAAGCAUUUACAUAUGUAAAUAUAGAAAAGGUCCAGUAAAAUUAUGGUAUAAAAAGUAGAGAAUGGUACACCUGUAUAGGGCACUUACUGUGAAUGGAGCUUGCAGCACUGGAAUUUGUUCUGUGUGAGUCAGUGAGUGAGUGGUGAGUGAAGGUGAAGGCCCAGGACAUUACUGUAUACCACUAGAGACUUUAUAAACACUGUAGACUUAGGCCAUGCUAAAUUUAUAAAAAAUAAAGUAAUUGCACUACAGUAUUACAAUGGCUACCGUGUCACUAGGUGAUAUGAAUUUUUCAUCUCCGUUAUAAUCUUAUGGGACCACUGUCAUAUAUGCAGCCUGUCAUUGACCGAAACACCAUUACACAGCACAGGACAAUAUUGUGUUCUGGGGGAAACAGACUAGCCUAUACCAGCAACUGGUUAGCUCUCAACACCUGUCCUCAAAAUAAUGUGCAGGUGGAUCGAAUUCAACUGUCAGCGGAUAAAGAUAUAUCUAAUACAAGAGAUGCUGGACUCCAGCAGUUAGCAUUAACCCAGUGGUGGAACCAACUUGUAUAUAUGAAUGGAUACAAUCCCAGCUAGAUUUUUGCCCCUGUAUAUUUUGAGGCUUUGUUGUAUGAUCCAUGCUUUGUAGAUCUGUGAAAAACAUUUCCAGGCAUCCAGUUGAAAAACCCUUGACCAACAGUAUAAAAACGACUUUUAGCUUUGCCUAAGCAUAAGGCAGCAUCAAAGGGGUCUGGCUUCCUUUUGGGAAGUUCUUUUGAAUGAAGUGAUCAGUUAGUAUUUAUGCUUUUUGUCCUUCUGUAUUAUGCAACAGCACAAAUGCACAACUGCCCCAGUGGGACAAUCUAAUGCAUAGCCAGCCAGUCACACAGUUUUAAAGUUGGACGCAUGUGUCUUUGGCACGUCCCAGGUCUCCUUUCAACUUCUUUCAGAAUCUCUUUUUUACCACCCUCCAGCCCAGCGCUUGAGGUUCUCAGGAUGACCCUGGGUCAUUUCUAGCUUAAAGAGAGUGGGCUUUGAGAAAUAUCUUGAUAAGUGUUAGUGCAAUUUUUAAAGAUGGCUAAAAUGCUAAUGGUGAAAUUUCAGGCUUUGUGGCAGUUGGAUGAAAGGAAUGUUUUUGAGCAAAAGAUCUUUCCAACGAUCCCUCAAACCUACAAUGCAUAAAAGUGGACUUGUUUAGAUAAGUCAGUAAAUUAUGCCUAAUCUCAGUUUUCCUCCAUGUAAAGAGGAAGAAAUUAAACUAGAAGUAGAAUGAUCUUUAAGGUUUAUUAAAGAGAGAGAGAGAGAGAGAGAGAAUGGUUUGCCAUGUGCAAAAAAAGGCAAGGCUCUUCCUUAUAAGUAGCACAGGGAUUCAUUCAUUCAUUCAUUCAUUCUGUGUGUGUGUGUGUGUGAGAGAGAGAUCUCUGGGCCAAACCCUAUAUCACAGUUCUUUCACAUCAUUUCACCUACCCCUUACAACAACCUUUGAGGUGGGUAUUCCUAACAGGAGUGGUUGUCAAUUUAUUUAACUAUCAAUAAGCCACAGAUACUUGCCAAUCAGAAAGAACACUGAGUUAAACACUAGAACAGGGUCCUGGAGACCCCUGACUGUGCCAGGUAUUUGUUGCUAGAUGAGGAAAGAGGUGGGGAGGAGCCAGGGUGCCUGGCACAAUGAAGGGGAGAUUGGGAAGCUAUUUGACAACUGGCCUGGGAAAUGCUCUAAUUUUUAAACUGCUGGUAUGGAUUUUGUACUAUUGGAUAUGGCUGAACAUCAGCCGUGACUUUCAAUCUCCCCAUUCUGCAAAGGACAAAGCUGAGGCCCUGGGAGGUCAUGAAAGCUUCUCAAGAUAAACCCAUCAAAAAGCGACAGGCUUGAGUUGAAGGCUACUUUAAGUCUUUGAGACUCCAAAGUUGGUGUUCUUAACCAUUAUGCUGACUGUACACAUGUCUCUAAGUUGACCUCAGUCUGUGCCAGGCUGGCCUGGCAUUUCUCUACAAAGAACUGGAGGAAAGUGGAUCGGAGGAAAGAUCUGGUUUGAGUGGGAGUAGAGUUGGCCGAUUUAGUAAGUAAAAAUACAGGACACACAGUUAAGUUUGAAUUUCAGAUAAACAACAAAUAAUGCUUUUGUAUAUUUUUAGCUUAUUGCACGGGAUAUAUGUACACUGAAAAUUAUUCAUUUUUAAUCUGAUGUUCAAAUUUAACUGGACAUCUUGCAUUUUAUCUGGCAACACUACGUGUGGAGGGAGGGUCACAGGGAUGCUAAGACAUUUCAAAUACCAAGACACUUCAAUCUGAAGAAACAUUUUCUUUGCUAGGAACUCCCUUUUGCAAAGUCAAUGAUAUCAGCUGUAGUAAGAACACUUCUAACCUUACCCUGAGUACCUCUUUGAUUUUAAAGUCAUAGAAUGUCAAGGCAGAGGUCAUUUAAGCCAAUACCCUGCCUCACUGUCUUUCUGCCUCUUUCUGUCCUCUCUCUGCCCAAGAAGG